AUGUACAACAUAUACUGUCUGAAUGGUCAAGAUACAACAGUAGUUACAAGGGGGCUUUAUCCGCCACCCUUUUUUGCACACUAUCUAGGUUUCUUCAAUUUAAAGCAACAGUUAUUACUUUUUUAAUCCUUAUCUUAUCUUAAUUUUCACUAUAUAUCAGAUUAAAACAAAGUUAAAAAAUAAACCAACUUUAGUUCAUAACCACAAUCUCUUUAAGUACCAUAUGACUUGGAAGUAAUUAAAUGUAACAUAUAAUGAAUAUUUUUAAAAUUGUACACAGUAGUGGUCUAAGAAUUUAAAUGAAUCAUGUGAAUUUUAAUAAAAUAAUUUACAAUUUUAUCUACGGUGACAUUUUGAGUUAUUAAUGACAGCACUUUAUUACCUUGUGUACCAGAGUUCAGAAUGGCUCUAAGACACUAAGAAAAGCUAAAACAGUUUAUGGAAGUAAAUAAUGAACAGACGAUGGACACAAUAAGAACAUAUUAGAGGUUAUAGUUACUAGAAUUCUGUAAUAUUAUUAGAAGUUAUAGGUUACUAGAAUUAUAUAAUAAUAUUAGUAGUUAUAGUUACUAGAAUUCUGGAGAAAGGUCGUUGAUCCAGGGAGUUAUUCUGAUUACCUGAUUGAAGUCAGGAAGUAAUUUUUUCCUCUAAAAUUAGGAAAAUUGUUUUCUAUCUCAUAAGGGUUUGUUGCCUUCCUCUGGCUCAAUUUUGCAGAAUAACAGGCCUGAACGGAAAGGAAAGAUAUAUUUUUUUUCAGCCUUACAAACUAAGUAAGUGAACUUGAUGGACGUAAUGUAUUUUUUCAACCAUAAUAAUUACAUAUGCAACUAUGUAACUAUAUACUAUGCUAUAUAAAAUAUAGUAGUUGUCUACUCAGAUGUGAAGUACAUUGCUUGUGGUUUUUUACUAUGGAUUGUUCAAUAUAAUAAUUGAGAAAUCAUAAAGUAAGGAAUGCAAUGGAGAAACAAGGUAUGUAAUAUAUCUGUUAUAUCCUAAAGAUCUGACAAAUUUUAUACAUAUUUAUCAUCUUUACAACCAUUUUACACUUACAAACACUUUCUAUGAAUUGCAAUAUAUUUUCCAGCAUUCUUGGAAAUCGGUCAUAAUUACUCCAUAUAUCUUUAUAGUAGGAGCUAUCUCUUUGUCCUAUCUUGUGUUAUGUACUUGUCCCUAUGGAUUUCUUACAACAGUUUUAUAACAUCAGAUUAUUUCUACAGCCGUGCAGUGGGCCUUUUCUAAAGUGCUUUUUACAGUAACACUAAUGUGAAAAAAGUUAAAAAUUAAACAGUUCAGGUAUGCUGAUAUAUGAGGGAAUUAAUAAUUGUACUUGGGCUUACCUACAGUAUAUGGAAGAAGAUAAGUUUUUUUUAAGCUUAUCGAGAAGAUUAUUAAUGAUUUGCUGUGGGAGCAGAAAGAGGUUAAGGCUUAAAUUGGAAUAUUUAUGCAAGCCCUUGGAUCAGGGAGGUUUGAAUAUUUCCUACUUCAAGGGCUAUUUUAUAGCCGGGCAAACUGUGGCUAUAUUGCGAAUGGAAGUUAAGUGUAUUGUGUACUACCUUGGUGAAGAGAUCUCCGUAUAACAAUAUAUUCACACUAUUGGAAUCGGGGCAAUUGAUCAAUAUGCAACAAGAGUACGGAGAGGCUAAAAAGUUAUUAUCUAAGGCAUGGGACACUAUUCGAUGUCUGGAAAUAACGGGAUCUCUUCAGGUGUACUCCCCUCUGGCAUAAUUCUCAAUUACAGGUUUUAGACAAAAUAGCCGGGGACCAGUAUUGUCAAAAAAAUAUAUUUUACAUGUAGCACAAGUGGUGAAGAAUAGAGAGAUUUUUCCAUUCUUGGUGUUAGCACAAACUGAGACUAUGGUUAGUUUGUCCUGGUUUAGAUAUUUUCAAC
Molecule: long non-coding RNA, 1888 nt
Organism: Bufo bufo (common toad)
Lineage: Eukaryota; Metazoa; Chordata; Amphibia; Anura; Bufonidae
Exons: 3
Source: RefSeq, a predicted model, not a curated record